RNAcentral lists this ribosomal RNA (250 nucleotides) under uncultured bacterium. Its description in RNAcentral is "partial 16S ribosomal RNA". It matches the Rfam family "Bacterial small subunit ribosomal RNA", at positions 524 to 774 of the family's 1533-position model. The record is from RNAcentral.
GACAGAGGCCCCAAGCGUUAGGCGGAAUCACUGGGCUUAAAGCGUGUGUAGGCGGACGCCUAAGUAUCUUGUGAAAUCCCACGGCUCAACCGUGGAACUGCUGGAUAUACUGCUUGUCUUGAGGCACUUAGGGGCAGCUGGAACAAAUGGUGGAGCGGUGAAAUGCGUAGAUAUCAUUUGGAACGCAAAGGCGAAAGCAGGCUGCUGGGAGUGAUCUGACACUGAGACGCGAAAGCCAGGGGAGCAAACG